UACGGGGGGGAGCAAACGUUGUUCGGAAUCACUGGGCGUAAAGGGCGCGUAGGCGGCCAGAUAAGUGGGGUGUUAAAUCUCCCGGCUCAACCGGGAACCUGCACCUCAUACUGCCUGGCUUGAGUACAGCAGAGGAGACUGGAAUUCCCGGUGUAGCGGUGAAAUGCGUAGAUAUCAAGAGGAACACCAGUGGCGAAGGCGAGUCCCUGGACGAUACCUGACACUGAGGCACGAAAGCCAAGGGAGCAAACAGG
Molecule: ribosomal RNA, 254 nt
Filed under: uncultured bacterium
Lineage: Bacteria
Description: partial 16S ribosomal RNA
Rfam family: Bacterial small subunit ribosomal RNA
Source: RNAcentral